RNAcentral lists this ribosomal RNA (490 nucleotides) under uncultured bacterium. Its description in RNAcentral is "bacterial SSU rRNA". It matches the Rfam family "Bacterial small subunit ribosomal RNA", at positions 8 to 518 of the family's 1533-position model. The record is from RNAcentral.
AGGGUUCGAUUCUGGCUCAGGACGAACGCUGGCGGCGUGCUUCAUACAUGCAAGUCGAACGAUAAGGCACCUUCGGGUGUACAUAAGUGGCGGACGGGUGAGUAAUAUGUAGAGAAUCUGCCCUAGAGAGUGGGACAACAGUUGGGAACGACUGCUAAUACCGCAUAUGAGCGUACCUGAAAUGGUAUUCUUGAAAACUCCGGUGCUCUGGGAUGAGUCUGCAUCUGAUUAGCUAGUUGGGGGUGUAAUGGACCACCAAGGCGACGAUCAGUAGCUGGUUUGAGAGGAUGAUCAGCCACAAUGGGACUGAGACACGGCCCAUACUCCUACGGGAGGCAGCAGUAGGGAAUUUUGCGCAAUGGGGGAAACCCUGACGCCAGCAACGCCGCGUGACCGAUGAAGCCCUUCGGGGUGUAAAGGUCUGUCAGUGGGGACGAAUAUUGACGGUACCCACAGAGGAAGCAUCGGCUAACUCCGUGCCAGCCGCCGC